This 253-nucleotide ribosomal RNA is filed under the name uncultured bacterium. RNAcentral describes it as "partial 16S ribosomal RNA". It matches the Rfam family "Bacterial small subunit ribosomal RNA", at positions 524 to 776 of the family's 1533-position model. The record is from RNAcentral.
UACGAAGGGGGCUCGCGUUGCUCGGAAUGACUGGGCGUAAAGGGCGCGUAGGCGGACUGCACAGUCAGGCGCGAAAUUCCUGGGCUUAGCCUGGGGACUGCGUCUGAGACGUGUGAUCUAGAGUGAGGAAGAGGGUCGUGGAAUUUCCAGUGUAGAGGUGAAAUUCGUAGAUAUUGGAAAGAACACCGGUGGCGAGGGCGGCUACCUGGGCCUUGACUGACGCUGAGGCGCGAAAGCGUGGGGAGCAAACAGG